This 809-nucleotide long non-coding RNA is filed under the name Rattus norvegicus (Norway rat). RNAcentral's name for it is "long non-coding RNA NONRATT033172". The record is from RNAcentral. Lineage: Eukaryota; Metazoa; Chordata; Mammalia; Rodentia; Muridae.
CAGGGCAUCAUCAGCCCUUUUCAGAUCCUAAGGUUCUGAGGCUUAACGUCACACAGAAGCUACUGCCACAUGGAUUAAACCCAAGAACUUGAGAGCUAUUUAAAGCUUAAGGAUUUUGCCCUAACAAUGUUCACUUUUUUUUUUGCACAGCCCGAAAAAUUUAGGAUUCUAAUAACCAUCCAGAAUAUCUGCCAAGUACUUCGACAUAGCAGUCUCCCUUCCCUUCCAGAUUCUUACAUCACUGCCAAGAACAAAGUGCGUGGAUCACUGAGGAUUCCUAGGAGAAAGUCUGAUCGACCCGUCUCAGAUCACAUGUUCACCCUCGAGUUGGAGACGCUGAAACUGGUGGAACACAGUCACAUGACAUGAAAUCCGUCCCUCCCGGAGUCAUAAGCAGUGUAGAGCCUCUGAGGUGGAAUGUGAGAAGGAAGGAGGGAGGGAAUGUUUGUCAUCUCUGAAGAUGUGGGGCUGAAGGCUAAAAGAGACUUGCUGAGCUGUGGUUCAAGAUAAAUAAAUGAAUAAAUAAGUCAUGGCUUUAGAAAGAACAAAAGAGAAUCCCAUUUAUUAGUCACAGAACCGCAGACGGUAUUCCUGGCCGUUCAGAUUCCUUAUCUCAUAUGUAACCGUGGGUCUAUGAUUACCGUUUGUAUCUCAAUAAUGUCGUAAGGAAUGACCUAUCUUAACAUCAAGGAUUUGGCAGGUUUCCUAUGAAAAAAACCAUCCAGCAAUUCUCUUUGAAUUCGUUAUCCCCAACCUUACUAUAAAUAUAUUUGGAAGGCAGUUACAUGAGCUGGCAAUGUUGAAGUCCC